This 253-nucleotide ribosomal RNA is filed under the name uncultured bacterium. Its description in RNAcentral is "partial 16S ribosomal RNA". It matches the Rfam family "Bacterial small subunit ribosomal RNA", at positions 524 to 776 of the family's 1533-position model. The record is from RNAcentral.
UACGUAGGGAGCAAGCGUUGUCCGGAAUCAUUGGGCGUAAAGCGCGCGUAGGUGGCUUCAUAAGUCCGUUGUGAAAGUCAAAGGCUCAACCUUUGAAAGCCGAUGGAUACUGUGAAGCUAGAGUACGGAAGAGGCGAGUGGAAUUCCUGGUGUAGCGGUGGAAUGCGCAGAUAUCAGGAGGAACACCAAUAGCGAAGGCAGCUCGCUGGGACGUUACUGACGCUGAGACGCGAAAGCGUGGGGAGCAAACAGG